UUGCUUUGGCCACAAAUACACUAAAACUGGAACAAUACAGAGAGAAUCAGUAUGGACCCUGCGUAAGGAUGACAUAAAAAUUCUUGAAGUGUUCCAUAUUAUU
Sciurus vulgaris (Eurasian red squirrel) is the source of this 103-nucleotide small nuclear RNA. The record is from Ensembl. Lineage: Eukaryota; Metazoa; Chordata; Mammalia; Rodentia; Sciuridae.